This 892-nucleotide ribosomal RNA is filed under the name uncultured archaeon. Its description in RNAcentral is "bacterial SSU rRNA". It matches the Rfam family "Archaeal small subunit ribosomal RNA", at positions 1 to 880 of the family's 1478-position model. The record is from RNAcentral.
UCCGGUUGAUCCUGCCGGACCCGACUGCUAUUUGGGUGAGGAUAAGCCAUGCAAGUUGAAUGGGAUGCCUAAAUUUCCCAUAGCAAACUGCUCAGUAACACAUGAUCAACUUUCCCUAUGGAGAAAAAUAACCUCGGGAAACUGAGGAUAAUGUUUCAUAGUUGAAUAGGCUUGGAAAAGUUUUUCAAUGAAAGGGAAAAGAAAAAUGGUUCUUUUUUGCCAUAGGAUAGGAUCGUGGUCGAUUAUGGUAGUUGGUGAGGUAAUGGCUCACCAAGCCGAUAAUCGAUAGGGGCCGUGAGAGCGGGAGCCCCGAGAUGGGUACUGAGACAACGACCCAGGCCUUACGAGGCGCAGCAGGCGCGAAACCUCCGCAAUACACGAAAGUGUGACGGGGUUACCCAAAGUGUUCAAUUUUGAACUGUGGUAGGUGAGUAAUGUUCCCUACUAGAAAGGAGAGGGCAAGGCUGGUGCCAGCCGCCGCGGUAAAACCAGCUCUUCAAGUGGUCGGGAUAAUUAUUGGGCUUAAAGUGUCCGUAGCCGGUUUGGUAAGUUCCUGGUAAAAUCGGGUAGCUUAACUAUCUAUAUGCUAGGAAUACUGCUAUACUAGAGGGCGGGAGAGGUCUGAGGUACUACAGGGGUAGGGGUGAAAUCUUAUAAUCCUUGUAGGACCACCAGUGGCGAAGGCGUCAGACUGGAACGCGCCUGACGGUGAGGGACGAAAGCCAGGGGAGCGAACCGGAUUAGAUACCCGGGUAGUCCUGGCCGUAAACGAUGCAUACUAGGUGAUGGCACGGCCAUGAGCCGUGUCAGUGCCGUAGGGAAACCGUUAAGUGUGCCGCCUGGGAAGUACGGUCGCAAGGCUAAAACUUAAAGGAAUUGGCGGGGGAGCACA